Molecule: long non-coding RNA, 232 nt
Filed under: Panax ginseng (ginseng)
Lineage: Eukaryota; Viridiplantae; Streptophyta; Magnoliopsida; Apiales; Araliaceae
Description: long non-coding RNA (PGIN_LNC007671)
Source: RNAcentral
AAAAAAAUAAAAAACAAAAAAAACAAAAAACAACAUCUCUUCACUUCUUUUGCCACAUACACCUUUGAACCUUUCCACGAAAACCUGAACUACGAAAGACCUGAUCUCCCCUCAUCAAUGGGAGUACGUAGGCAGCCAUUUAUGGUGCGGUCAAACCAAACAAAAACCCAAAAAACCCAAAUAAACACUUCUCAGACCGUUCAGCUCAUCAAGAAUGAACUACGUAGACCUG